Chelonoidis abingdonii (Abingdon island giant tortoise) is the source of this 369-nucleotide non-coding RNA. The record is from the annotation of a RefSeq genome assembly. NCBI's taxonomy places the organism in Eukaryota, Metazoa, Chordata, Testudines, Testudinidae.
CUCCACUGAGGACUUUCCCCUCCAGCACCAGGGAAAAUGAGACUUUGGCUCCAUUUACUUUUUCUCGGGAAGGCUCUGGAAAGGGCCCGGUCACAGGUUGUUCUGACCCAAUCAGGUCCAGAACUGAAGAAGCCCGGAGAUUCCACUCGGCUGAAAUGCGCCGUGAGCGGGUUCACUAUCACCGACUAUUAUAUGGACUGGGUCAGACAGGAGCAGGGAAAGGGGCUGGAGUGGCUGGUCAGCUACUGGAAACCAGGGCAGAGUGAAUAUUAUUCUCCCAUCAUCCAGGGGCGCUUCACAGCCUCCAAGGACAGCUCCAACUUCUACCUGCAAAUGACCGGCCUGAGACCCGAGGACACCGCUGUGUAG